GCCUCUGUAGCUCAGUGGUUAGAGAGCUAUUGGUCUUGUAAAACAGGGGUCGAGAGUUCGACUCUCUCCAGAGCCU
Nematostella vectensis (starlet sea anemone) is the source of this 76-nucleotide non-coding RNA. The record is from Rfam. Lineage: Eukaryota; Metazoa; Cnidaria; Anthozoa; Actiniaria; Edwardsiidae.